Non-coding RNA from Triticum urartu, 829 nucleotides. The record is from RefSeq and is a predicted model, not a curated record. Lineage: Eukaryota; Viridiplantae; Streptophyta; Magnoliopsida; Poales; Poaceae.
UAUGAUUCCACUCUACUCCUCUGUAGUUAUUUGGCUGAAGAUGUGCAUUAGUGGUUGGCUGUGAUAAUACAUAUAGUAAGAUUGCAUGUUAUGCUUAGCAGAGCUUAGCAGAAAUUUGCUAGAGGAGUUGCAACAGCCUUGAUCAAAUAUUAUUUUCAUUAUUCCUUCUUGGUUUUAGACAAUAACAAUAGAUAAUCUUCAUCGAAAUUUGCUAGAGAAGUUGCAACAGCUUUGGUCAAAUAUUAUUUUUAUUAUUCCUUGUUGGGUUUAGACAAUAAAGUAGAGAAUCUAAAUCCUUCUACUAUAUGUGUACCUGUAAUAGAGCAAUGCUUGGUGCAGCUAGCUGCAGGAAGGACCAACUUGACUUGAUGGGGAUACAAUCACCAAGAAAGAUUCAUACCUGAACUUACCUUUAUGCAUUGCACGAACUACCAAGAUAUUGUAUCUCCCUAUAUGAUCCAUAACUCAUACACACAUGAGUAGCGAUGGGAUACUAUUUGGAUUGAGUGAUCUAGAAUGUAAGCUUACCUCGGUGGUUCAGAUUAUCACUAUUAGUCUUCUGGUCGUGGCAAUUUUUUAGACUUCUGGUGUAAAGCUAUGAAGGGAUUUGCUUGGAAACAAUACUGAAAGGAUACCUUAACUUCAUUUUAUCCCCUAGAUUAGUAUAAGUAUAUUAAGUCCCCGUUUAUUUAGAUGUAUAGCUUGCAUGACAGUUUUGUUUAAACCGAUUUUUGGGGCAUUUAGCAAUUCUCACAUAUGUUGUUACUCAUGCACUUGCUUUUGAAGAUAUCAUUUCCAAUGUCAAUGUUUACAAAAUUGUUAAUCUUUU